GAAAUGCGAUACUUGGUGUGAAUUGCAGAAUCCCGUGAACCAUCGAGUCUUUGAACGCAAGUUGCGCCCGAAGCCAUUAGGCCGAGGGCACGCCUGCCUGGGUGUCACACAUCGUUUCCCCAACGCAAACAUGUAACAAUGUUGCUGCGCGGGGUGUAUGCUGACCUCCCGCGAGCACCCGCCUCGUGGUUGGUUGAAAUCUGGGUUCAUGGCCGACUUCGCCGUGAUAAAAUGGUGGAUGAGCCACGCUCGAGACCAAUCACGUGCGAGCCGGUCAGUUCUGGACCCAUCGACGACCCUUUUUUUUUUAUAAGGCUACCAACGAGACCUCAGGUCAGGCGGGGCUACCCGCUGAGUUUAA
This 361-nucleotide unclassified non-coding RNA is filed under the name uncultured fungus. RNAcentral's name for it is "sequence contains ITS1". The stretch from base 1 to 107 matches the Rfam family "5.8S ribosomal RNA", at positions 50 to 154 of the family's 154-position model. The record is from RNAcentral. Lineage: Eukaryota; Fungi.